UACGUAGGUGGCAAGCGUUAUCCGGAUUUACUGGGUGUAAAGGGCGAGUAGGCGGGAUUGCAAGUCAGAUGUGAAAACUAUGGGCUCAACCCAUAGACUGCAUUUGAAACUGCAGUUCUUGAGUGAUGGAGAGGCAGGCGGAAUUCCCGGUGUAGCGGUGGAAUGCGUAGAUAUCGGGAGGAACACCAGUGGCGAAGGCGGCCUGCUGGACAUUAACUGACGCUGAGGCGCGAAAGCGUGGGGAGCAAACAGG
This 253-nucleotide ribosomal RNA is filed under the name Intestinimonas butyriciproducens. Its description in RNAcentral is "partial 16S ribosomal RNA". It matches the Rfam family "Bacterial small subunit ribosomal RNA", at positions 524 to 776 of the family's 1533-position model. The record is from RNAcentral. Lineage: Bacteria; Bacillati; Bacillota; Clostridia; Eubacteriales. RNAcentral also lists the same sequence under 1 other name.